GUGAAUUUAUUAAUCAGAUCAUGGCUCGCUAGGCGGGCGCCCAUGCUCCUGGCUCCUUCCCUUUGUGGCCCCGCUGGCUCACGCAUACAUAUGGAGCGUACAGAUGGGGAAAUUGAGGUAAACAGGAUGAAGUGACUCGUCCAGCAUCAUACAACUAAUACAUCUCUAACGACAAAUUUGAACUCAGGAAGAUACUUUCUAGACUCUAUCCACGUUGCCACCCAACUGUCCAAUUGAAUUGAAUUGAAUGAAAUCUCAGUAGCUGGUGAGAUCAACUGGGAGACAACUAUCAACCCCUAGGACUUCCUUCCUAUUUCUCCAUCAUUUGAAGAGCCAAUCCUGUGGUUUCCAUGCCCUUGGUCUUUCUCAGGACCUGCACAUGUGGAAGGGAUUCAGGUGGGAGAGGGAAGGGGACGCAAAUCAGCAAUGUGUCCCAAAAGAGAGAAGUAUUUGACAAAGUUCUUGAAAUUUUUACUUUAAGAUUUCCCAUAGAGAACGUUGUACACAGUAACAGCAAGAUUCUGUGAUGAUCAACUGAUGGACGUGGCUCUUCUCAGCAAUAUGGUGAUUUAAAAGCCAUUUCAAUAGUAUUGGGGUGGAAAAUGUUAUCCAAUGAGACAACUAUGGAGAUUGAAUGUAGAUUGAAGCAUAGUAUUUUCGCCUUUGUUUCUCAUGUUCUCAUGUUUAUUCCCCUUUUUGGUCUGAUUUUUCUUGCACAACAUGAUUAACAUGGAAAUGUUUAAAAGGAUUGAACAUAUUAAAUUUUAAAAAAAAUUAAAGAUUAUUUAAAGUAUGGGAGCAGUGUGUGUGUGUGUGUGUGUGUGUACCACUGAGGGUCCAAUCCUCACACCGUAUCUAAUAUCCAUUUAGAAGCUUAGCGAUCUUUCUUCUAGAAAUAUGUAAAGGAAAACCGUCUUAAUCCUCCUUACUUAAAAGUAAGUGAAAGUAUUCUCUAAUUAUUUCCUGUUGGCUUACUGUGUGAUUACAAAAAGCCUUUUAAGGUCUGCUGAGGCUGAACCCAGUGUGCAAACUAAAGUCUCAAACAUAAACACUCUCUUGCCUGGAUGUAAACAAAAUAAGAACUGCUGUGAGCUGCUAGAUGUAGCUUACUCUCCCUUCCUUACCUGGUCACCCUGUGGCUGUGAAUGCAUGCGAGUGUGUUUCUUCUAUUUCUAUUAUGCUUGCUUGAACUUGAGGGAAUGAGUAGUGGAUAGGAAAUGGACCACAUUAUGACCUUGUGAGCUUCAAAAGUUUGGAAGAGGUAAACAGUAUUCUUUACAGUUAUUUUUAAAGGAAGUUCUCUUUCUAUCUUUUGCUGUCAGACUUUGUUGGUAACAUACAGAAAUGCCAGUGAUUUAUGUGGAUUUAUUUUGUAUCCUACAAACAGUACUCUCAGUGAACAAAACUAGAAGCAGUAGUAAUCUAGGUUAGGGAUUACUACUGCUUCUGGAGAAUUCAGCUGAGAUCUCAAACUUUAGCUUUGGUAAUUAACUGGAUAGUGACAAGAGAAUGUCUGGCUCAACUUUAUUGCUUUUAUUAACUUAAGAUGAACAGCAUAUAACUAGCUAGAGUUCUGGUGUUAAUAGUUAUUUUGCAAAUUUCAGCUUUACCCCUAAUGUUUACUGAUCAGUUUAUUUUUUUGCUUUCUAUUCUUUGUUCUUUGAUGGAUAAAUCUUUGCCUUCUGUAAAAUUCCAUCGUGUCCAUUCUGCUCAUGUAACUAAGACCAAUAUAAAGUUGCUGAAAAUGACUGCUCAGAGUCCACUGUAUAUCCUUGGUCUGUUCUCUGAGGGUUUAGUAAAUCAGAUCAGUUUUUUUUUUUUUUAAACGUGAUUCUGCCAAUCAUCCUUAUCAAUGAAUCUUUUGACAACACUAAAUAAAUGCUGGCUAUUAUUAUAGCCAAGUGGGGAAUGAGGGAUCCAAAGCCAUACUGUUUGUCCAAUUUAAAAAAAUAUAUAUAUUUGAAAUUACCACUAACAAUAAACCCAAUGGUUACAACAACAUAUAGUCAUUUCCAUACCCCUAGAUCACUGUCAAAUUCUGAAACAGAAAGACCUAAGAUGCUCAUUUUCUGUGAAAUUCUGGGGACAAAUCACUUGCCAAAUCAUUCAGUUUCCGCAAUUAUAAAACAGUAAUAAUAGCACCACCCCCACAGGCUUGUUGUUAGGAUCAAAUGAGACAAUAUUUGUAAAGCACUUAGUACAGUGCCUAUUCAUAAUAGGUGCUAAUGCUCAUUUUCUUUUUCCCUCCCUUUAUACAGAAGGAAAUUGAAGCCCAGUGUGGAAAAAAGAAAUCACUUAAAUUCAUAUGAAUCAGUGGCAGAUUUGGGACAACAUCCCACAAAUGGACCUCUAGCCUAGUUCUUUCUCCAUUUCCAAGUUUGCAUAAGGGACCAAAUUUGAGUUAUUUCUGGAUUUUGAUGGGAAAAGGCCAUGUAGUGAGUCUCUGAACAUGAUGGUUUCAAAGGACAAGUGAACAAAUCAUCCCAAUCUGGAAAUCAGAAUCCAGUCCAUAUUUACAAUUAAUGCUACAUUGAGCCCAGUGAGCAGUCUUUGUAUUGGCAGAAGAACUCAUUCAACAUCAAUCCCAACUUUGGCCGUGAACUUGCCAGGACCAAUGGUACACAGUAACGGAACUCAUUUUCGAGCUUUAUUUUUCUCCCCAUACCACCCUCUACUGACUAAGGUAGCAUGGUAAGGAUUCUCAGAAAUACAAUGAUCCAAGACAAUUCCAAAGGACUCAUGAUGGAAAAUGUUAUCCAGAUAAAGAAUUGGAGUGUGUGUGUGGAGUGUGGAGUGUGUAUAUGUUUGCUCUUUCUAUGUCUUUGAAGUAAAUAUCCUCUUGUAAAAGUUACCCAGUGUUAAA
Antechinus flavipes (yellow-footed antechinus) is the source of this 2863-nucleotide long non-coding RNA. RefSeq lists it as uncharacterized. Lineage: Eukaryota; Metazoa; Chordata; Mammalia; Dasyuromorphia; Dasyuridae. The record is from RefSeq and is a predicted model, not a curated record. The transcript has 3 exons.